This 465-nucleotide ribosomal RNA is filed under the name Vreelandella stevensii. RNAcentral's name for it is "partial 16S ribosomal RNA". It matches the Rfam family "Bacterial small subunit ribosomal RNA", at positions 338 to 795 of the family's 1533-position model. The record is from RNAcentral. Lineage: Bacteria; Pseudomonadati; Pseudomonadota; Gammaproteobacteria; Oceanospirillales; Halomonadaceae.
CCUACUUUUUUCCGCAGUGGGGAAUAUUGGACAAUGGGGGCAACCCUGAUCCAGCCAUGCCGCGUGUGUGAAGAAGGCCCUCGGGUUGUAAAGCACUUUCAGUGAGGAAGAACGCCUGGUGGUUAAUACCCAUCAGGAAAGACAUCACUCACAGAAGAAGCACCGGCUAACUCCGUGCCAGCAGCCGCGGUAAUACGGAGGGUGCGAGCGUUAAUCGGAAUUACUGGGCGUAAAGCGCGCGUAGGUGGCUUGAUAAGCCGGUUGUGAAAGCCCCGGGCUCAACCUGGGAACGGCAUCCGGAACUGUCAAGCUAGAGUGCAGGAGAGGAAGGUAGAAUUCCCGGUGUAGCGGUGAAAUGCGUAGAGAUCGGGAGGAAUACCAGUGGCGAAGGCGGCCUUCUGGACUGACACUGACACUGAGGUGCGAAAGCGUGGGUAGCAAACAGGAUUAGAUACCCUAGUAGUC